Long non-coding RNA from Telopea speciosissima, 447 nucleotides. RefSeq lists it as uncharacterized. The record is from RefSeq and is a predicted model, not a curated record. The transcript has 2 exons. Lineage: Eukaryota; Viridiplantae; Streptophyta; Magnoliopsida; Proteales; Proteaceae.
AUGGCUUUAACUCUAAUUGAGGGGUAACAUAGCAUUCAUUGGUGGGUGUUUCUGGAAGGAUUUGUUUGAUGUUUACUUAAGAGAAUUCAAUUGUAAGCGGGGAGUAAAAUAGCAUUGGGGCUUGGAGAAUUGAGACAUAGCAAAAAAAAUGAGCUCACGAGGGGCCAAUGUGUUGCUUUCGAGAGCCAGCAGGAUCAAGCAGAAGCUUGAGUCUGCACUGGAAACAAGUGUUCUGGAAAUUGAAGAUGUUUCUUAUAAGCAUGCAGGCCAUGCGGCCGUUAAGGGAGACGCGAAUGAGACCCAUUAUAAUUUGAAAGUCGUUUCAGCCAAAUUUGAUGGGCAAAGCCUGGUGAAACGCCAUCGAAUGGUGUAUGAUCUCUUGGCGGAAGAGCUUCAGUCUGGGUUGCAUGCCCUGUCAAUAGUGGCAAAAACUCCACAAGAAGCUGG